Molecule: ribosomal RNA, 208 nt
Filed under: uncultured bacterium
Lineage: Bacteria
Description: partial 16S ribosomal RNA
Rfam family: Bacterial small subunit ribosomal RNA
Source: RNAcentral
CCGUAACAGGGGGAUAACCCGGAGAAAUCCGGACUAAUACCCCAUAAUAUGGGCGCUCCGCAUGGAGAGCCCAUUAAAGAGAGCAAUUUUGGUUACAGACGAGCAUGCGCUCCAUUAGCCAGUUGGCGGGGUAACGGCCCACCAAAGCGACGAUGGAUAGGGGUUCUGAGAGGAAGGUCCCCCACAUUGGAACUGAGACACGGUCCAA